Molecule: long non-coding RNA, 600 nt
Filed under: Vigna radiata
Lineage: Eukaryota; Viridiplantae; Streptophyta; Magnoliopsida; Fabales; Fabaceae
Description: long non-coding RNA (VRAD_LNC005654)
Source: RNAcentral
UCAACUAAAUCAAAUUCACCCAAUCCAUAUAUUUCAUGUCAGAAGAGUACAAGUUUUUAGUAACUUUUUGAGAAAGUACACCCAUAUCAUCCAGAAUCCAAUUAGACACAUCAUAAUCUUCAUUAACCAUCAAAGAAGAAAAAUAACAUAAACGGGAAAUAAAAUAAGGGUAGCUUAGUGAGUACCUACCAAAAGUGAUAAAUAUCUUUAAUUUGGUCAUUAGUAGAUAUUCAUUGGUGAAUAUCAAAAUUUCAUCUUCCUCCUCAUCCUUUUUUUUCUUUUUUUUUCUUCUUUCACUUUCUUUUUUCCUUUUCCUUCAUCGUCAUCAUUAUCAUGUUUGUCAUCAUCAUCGCCUUCAACUCCUUCCUCCUCCUCUUGCAUCCUCCUCCUUUUGCAUCACCACCAAAUUUGCUUAUGCAGCUGCCAUCAUUGCUACUGCCAUAAUUGUUGUUGUUGUUGUUGUCAUUGUCAUCUUCCUUCCUCUCCUUCUUUUUCUUCUCAUUUUCCUCCUCCUCUUGCAUCGUCACUGACUUUGCCUCUAUAGCUACCAUCGUUGUUGUUAUCAUUAUUAUUGUUAUUGUCACCUCAUUUUCUUCUUCU